AAGUCGUACCGGCGGGUAAUCAGCCUUUCGGGUAUGAUUCUGUGGAGUGUGGGGAGCUAAACACCCUCAUGCCUGCAUAUUCGUGCUCUUGGGUGUACUUGCUCGUGUGGUUGGUUAACAUCAAUUUCGGAUGCCAUAAAAUGACUGGAGGAAUGUAGCUUCGAUCUCGUAUUGAAGUGUUAUAGCCUUCGGUAGAUGUGAUGAUCGAGAUUGAGGAUUGCAACGGAUACCCUUCGGGGCUACCUGUCUGAUCUCUGAAGGUUACUCCGGUGCUGAAAGCGUGCUUAUGGUUAUCGGAAGUGAUUUUCAAAAGGUUAGAACGGGUU
RNAcentral lists this ribosomal RNA (326 nucleotides) under Glomus sp. (unid). The record is from RNAcentral. Lineage: Eukaryota; Fungi; Glomeromycota; Glomeromycetes; Glomerales; Glomeraceae.